GAAAUAUCUAUUUUUCUCAGAAAAUCUUUUCUUCAAAAAAUAUUUUCCAUAUUCAAAUUAUUUACAUUUCUCCAUCGAUCAGUCCAAAGAAUGAAGAACUAAGUUUCGAGAAUACAACAAAAAGCGGUGCAGCAACAAUGCAUUAGAAAACAAGAUCUACCAGUACUAACCAGGGCACUCAAAUUUAUCUUUCCCUGCUCUAGACGUUAUUAGAAAACAUUAAAAGGGAGCAAAAUGCUUGAAAAAUGAAGAGUUCAAAACUACAACAGAUCAAACGCAAGUAUGAAAAAGUCUUGAGCAUACUAUAAAUAGAGAUACAUUCACAAAGGCCAUAAUUUUAGAAGUGAUUAUCUAUUCUUUACCAAGAAGCUUGAAAAAGGAGGGUGCUGAGUGCUACCGUUUGACAGGCUUAUAAAGGACAACAGUGAC
RNAcentral lists this unclassified non-coding RNA (429 nucleotides) under Hevea brasiliensis (rubber tree). Lineage: Eukaryota; Viridiplantae; Streptophyta; Magnoliopsida; Malpighiales; Euphorbiaceae. The record is from RNAcentral.